Molecule: transfer RNA, 77 nt
Filed under: Helcococcus ovis
Lineage: Bacteria; Bacillati; Bacillota; Tissierellia; Tissierellales; Peptoniphilaceae
Also listed under: 2 other names
Description: tRNA-Arg
Rfam family: tRNA
About the family: Transfer RNA (tRNA) molecules are approximately 80 nucleotides in length.
Source: RNAcentral
GUGUCGUUAGCUCAGCUGGAUAGAGCGUCUGGCUACGGACCAGAAGGUCGAGGGUUCGAAUCCUUUACGACACGCCA